GAACGCCGAGCACAUUUACCUGAACUCAAAUGUACUGUGGAUCCAGAGAGAAACGGGAUAUGUUUGGCCUUAAAGGUCAGAGGUCUGGAUUCUGUUGCCUGAACAGGAAGUGGGGGUUGGUAAAAGGAGCUGAGGCCCGUGUUUGGUUUGCAGUAGCUCAUGUCCAGAGAAUGAGGGAACAUGCUGAAUUGUUUUCCCUAGCGUACACGUAGCACUUUCAGACGCUCCCAGCAGAAUACUUAGAAGCUGAUGCUAGAUUCACCGCAGCAGUGCCAGAAACUGCCCUGCUGGCAUGAUGUCACCCACCUGCAUGCUAAAGCGAGAUAAUGUGAGGGGGAAAAAGGGGGAAAACCUAGAAUUAAGAUGCUAAUCCCUGCCCCUUAUGAUGCCCAGAUUAGGAACUCAUUUGUUCAAAAUUUCUGAUCUCAUUGGAGUUGCUCACUUAGAUCUAUUUACUUAUAUAACAUAUACUGACAGGUUUUAGGAUUGAUAUUCAUGUGUAUUCCAAAACUGUAUUACACAUACAUAAUCAUGCAUAUUUGUAUGGGCUAGAUAUAUAUGUUAAUAUAUGAUUGUUCAAAUUUU
Molecule: long non-coding RNA, 585 nt
Organism: Carassius carassius (crucian carp)
Lineage: Eukaryota; Metazoa; Chordata; Actinopteri; Cypriniformes; Cyprinidae
Exons: 3
Source: RefSeq, a predicted model, not a curated record